UAUUUUAUUAGUAUAAGAGUACGUUUGAUUUCCAAUCAAAAGGUUUUUGAAGAGUCAAAAAUAAAAUAU
Molecule: transfer RNA, 69 nt
Filed under: Asthenactis papyraceus
Lineage: Eukaryota; Metazoa; Echinodermata; Asteroidea; Spinulosida; Pythonasteridae
Description: tRNA-Gly
Rfam family: tRNA
About the family: Transfer RNA (tRNA) molecules are approximately 80 nucleotides in length. Their secondary structure includes four short double-helical elements and three loops (D, anti-codon, and T loops).
Source: RNAcentral